This 286-nucleotide unclassified non-coding RNA is filed under the name fungal sp. RNAcentral's name for it is "partial internal transcribed spacer region". The stretch from base 1 to 46 matches the Rfam family "Eukaryotic small subunit ribosomal RNA", at positions 1786 to 1831 of the family's 1831-position model. Lineage: Eukaryota; Fungi. The record is from RNAcentral.
AAGUCGUAACAAGGUAUCCGUAGGUGAACCUGCGGAUGGAUCAUUAUCACGUAUCCACGUAUCAACCAUUGCGAACUGUCUUGACCUUUGAGAAGUUGAGUAAGUGAUUAGGUGGGAGUUGACUUCACGGUCUUCUCUUGCUGCUUCUCAAAGUGUAUUUAAUCACUUCAUUAUUAACAACUUUAACCAAAUUUUUAACUAUUGAACUGAUUUAUUUCUUACGCUUCGGCGAAGAAAUCAUUACGAAACAUAAGAACAACUCUUAGCAACGGAUAUCUUGGUUCUC